GCUGCUAAAACUGAUGUAAAGAAACCCUAAACUUCUCGCGAUCUCUCCUUCAUCGUGAGGUGACUUCUCAUCUUCGUCUGUAUCAUCUCAACAUCGAAACGUUCCCGAUUCCUCAUGUUUAAUUUCUAUCAAAUCAAUCAAUCACGAUGUAGCUUUUAAUGCUUGCUUUGAUUCGGAGUUGGUGUAUCUGCGAGUAUAAAUAGAUCAACAUUCUUCCUCUUACAAUCAUCUUCCAAGCCGUGUAUCUACACCUAUAAAAAAAGGCGAAGCCCCCAAAAAGUUGGGUUGGAGAGAAGCCACUUCUAUCUGUUUCAAAUUUUCCAGCCAUAUGUUUUGCUACAAGAAGGAUAAUUCUCGGAGAGACCUAAGCCGUGAAAAACACUGACUUCGAUAAAGUUUGGAAAUGUGGCAGAUUUGCCACCAUUUACAACCCUGUGGGGAUACCAUAAGGUUUCCAUUGCCUUGGUCAUGGUUGCAGAAUCCUUCGGUUGGUAACAGAGCUAACGGGUUUACUUCCACCCUGAAGAGACUUACAUGCCUUCAUCUGUGCUAUGUUUUUUUUAAAACAGAGCUUCUUGAUCUUCGUUUCUGUAGAAGAACCUCACAUUUUAUUCCUAUCAACAUCUCUUAGGAAUAAAGGUUUGCUAAUUAAGAUAUUCAUAUCAGAAUCAUCUUUUUAGCUUAUUGACUGAAAAGUAUUUUCCAAUAAAAGUUUCUUUCUAA
Molecule: long non-coding RNA, 723 nt
Organism: Raphanus sativus (radish)
Lineage: Eukaryota; Viridiplantae; Streptophyta; Magnoliopsida; Brassicales; Brassicaceae
Exons: 3
Source: RefSeq, a predicted model, not a curated record